UUCCGGUUGAUCCCGCCGGACCCGACUGCUAUUUGGGUGAGGAUAAGCCAUGCGAGUUGAAUGGGAAACCUAAAGUUCCCAUGGCAAACUGCUCAGUAACACAUGAUCAACUUACCCUAUAGAGAAAAAUAACCUCGGGAAACUGAGGAUAAUGUUUCAUAGUUGAAUUGGCUUGGAAAAGUUUUUCGACGAAAGGGGUAAAAAAAAUGGUUUUUAUCUGCUAUAGGAUAGGAUCGUGUUCGAUUAUGGUUGUUGGUGAGGUAAUGGCUCACCAAGCCGAUAAUCGAUAGGGGCCGUGAGAGCGGGAGCCCCGAGAUGGGUACUGAGACAACGACCCAGGCCUUACGAGGCGCAGCAGGCGCGAAACCUCCGCAAUACACGAAAGUGUGACGGGGUUACCCAAAGUGUUCAAUAGAACUGUGGUAGGUGAGUAAUGUUCCCUACUAGAAAGGAGAGGGCAAGGCUGGUGCCAGCCGCCGCGGUAAAACCAGCUCUUCAAGUGGUCGGGAUAAUUAUUGGGCUUAAAGUGUCCGUAGCCGGUUUAGUAAGUUCCUGGUAAAAUCGGGUAGCUUAACUAUCUAUAUGCUAGGAAUACUACUAUACUAGAGGGCGGGAGAGGUCUGAGGUACUGCAGGGGUAGGGGUGAAAUCUUAUAAUCCUUGUUGGACCACCAGUGGCGAAGGCGUCAGACUGGAACGCGCCUGACGGUGAGGGACGAAAGCCAGGGGAGCGAACCGGAUUAGAUACCCGGGUAGUCCUGGCCGUAAACGAUGCAUACUAGGUGAUGGCACGGCCAUGAGCCGUGUCAGUGCCGUAGGGAAACCGUUAAGUGUGCCGCCUGGGAAGUACGGUCGCAAGGCUAAAACUUAAAGGAAUUGGCGGGGGAGCACCACAAAGGGUGAAGCCUGCGGUUCAAUUGGAGUCAACGCCGGAAAUCACUAGUGCGGCCCGCCUGCAGUCGACCAUAUGGGAGAGCUCCCAACGCGUUGGAUGCAUAGCUUGAGUAUCUAUCAGUGUCACCUAAAUAGCUUGGCCGUAAUCAUGGUCAUAGCUGUUUCCUGUGUGAAAUUGUUAUCCCGCCUCACA
This 1086-nucleotide ribosomal RNA is filed under the name uncultured archaeon. Its description in RNAcentral is "bacterial SSU rRNA". It matches the Rfam family "Archaeal small subunit ribosomal RNA", at positions 1 to 1081 of the family's 1478-position model. The record is from RNAcentral.